GUGAGGAAUUUUCCGCAAUGGGCGAAAGCCUGACGGAGCAAUGUCGCGUGAAGGAUGAAGGCCUAUGGGUUGUAAACUUCUUUUCUCAGAAAAGAAUUAUGACGGUAUCUGAGGAAUAAGCAUCGGCUAACUCUGUGCCAGCAGCCGCGGUAAGACAGAGGAUGCAAGCGUUAUCCGGAAUGAUUGGGCGUAAAGCGUCUGUAGGUUGUUUAAAAAGUAUUCUGUCAAAGAUUAGGGCUUAACCCUAGAUAGGCAGAAUAAACUUUUAAGCUAGAGUUUGGUAGAGGCAGAGGGAAUUCCCGGUGGAGCGGUGAAAUGCGUAGAUAUCGGGAGGAACACCAAAGGCGAAGGCACUCUGCUGGGCCAAUACUAACACUGAGAGACGAAAGCGAGGGGAGCAAAUGGGAUUAGAAACCCCUGUAGUCC
RNAcentral lists this ribosomal RNA (426 nucleotides) under uncultured bacterium. Its description in RNAcentral is "bacterial SSU rRNA". It matches the Rfam family "Bacterial small subunit ribosomal RNA", at positions 354 to 796 of the family's 1533-position model. The record is from RNAcentral.